UACGAAGGGGGCUAGCGUUGCUCGGAAUUACUGGGCGUAAAGGGCGCGUAGGCGGAUAUUUAAGUUAGAGGUGAAAGCCCAGGGCUCAACCCUGGAAUAGCCUUUAAUACUGGAUAUCUUGAGUUCGGGAGAGGUGAGUGGAACUCCGAGUGUAGAGGUGAAAUUCGUAGAUAUUGGGAAGAACACCGGUGGCGAAGGCGGCAACCUGGUCCUUGACUGACGCUGAGGCGCGAAAGCGUGGGGAGCAAACAGG
This 253-nucleotide ribosomal RNA is filed under the name uncultured bacterium. RNAcentral describes it as "partial 16S ribosomal RNA". It matches the Rfam family "Bacterial small subunit ribosomal RNA", at positions 524 to 776 of the family's 1533-position model. The record is from RNAcentral.